Molecule: long non-coding RNA, 216 nt
Organism: Dermochelys coriacea (leatherback sea turtle)
Lineage: Eukaryota; Metazoa; Chordata; Testudines; Dermochelyidae
Exons: 3
Source: RefSeq, a predicted model, not a curated record
GUGCCACUUUUACUUGGCUGGUAACACAUCCACUUUGCAGUGAGGACACAGGCUAAACCACUCAGUGCUGACAGUCCUCCAGAGCCUUCCCACAAUCCCCCCUGUGCAGAAGGACGGACAAGUUCUCCCACGAUUCAGUGGGAAAGAAGCAGAGCAGCUGAGCUUACUGCAGCACUAAGAACCAUGGGAGAUGCCCCCAAAAAUCUUAGUGACACA